Molecule: long non-coding RNA, 219 nt
Filed under: Lathyrus oleraceus (garden pea)
Lineage: Eukaryota; Viridiplantae; Streptophyta; Magnoliopsida; Fabales; Fabaceae
Description: Pisum sativum (pea) long non-coding RNA (PSAT_LNC009655)
Source: RNAcentral
ACAAUUAAAAAUCCAGAGAUGGUAAAAUCCUAAAAUAAACACCAUAAAAUUCUAGACAUUCACAUGAACAAGUAGAAAAAAGUUGGGAAUUAAUUGGAUCAUUAUGCUAUUUUUGGUGAUUUUUUGAAUGAGCAUGAAAUAAUGAAAUAAAAAUUGAAAACAUGGAAAUAAUGAAAAUGAAUUAUGAAGUUUUGGAAAUGCAGCCAGGCAGGAUCGAAG